AGUGACAGAAAAUUUCAUGAAUAACAGAAAACAUCUUUAAAUCUGAAUACAAAUUAAAAAUAUAUUUGAAUAAUUAUGUUCAGUGUGAUAUAAAUUUUCUAGAGUACAAGUAAUUUUUGGUUGAGCUAAAAAAUGGAAUAAAGACAUCUCAGGAAAAAAAGGACUUGAAUUAAAUACUAAAACAAUGUUAAUCCUUUGGGCACCAAUUCUUCUCAACUUAGUUACAGGUGUUCAAAUCGUGAAGGAUGGGUGUUUGUUGCGGAGCUGCUCCUGGAGGAGAUCUUGCAUUGCUGAGUCGCAGUUCAAUGCAGUUGGUCCAGUAGCAGAAAGAUUUGAGCUUUUAAAAAGGAGCUAUGCUGUCAUCGUAUCUUAUACACCACGCUGAAAUUCCCCCUUAUAGGUCCAAAAGAAGGAAGUCCUUUUAUAAAAAGGAUAUGGUGUCAUCGUAUUUCUAACACUACGCAGAAAUCACCUCAUAUAGUUCCAUUCCAAUUUUCCAAAUAUCUGAAGAGACUAGGAAGGAUGUGGAAGAAGAAAAGUGGCCCCAGCAUAUAUCUUUUUUUUAUACAAUUUUUUUUCAUUUUUUAUUAUUUUUUUAUAAUAUUUUUUUUGAGCUCCCGGCCUCACGCAGAAGUGCGAGCAAGAAAGAGGGAUCUUCGGGAGCUGGCCCAGAAGCGGUCGAGAGUGGCAAUGACGUUAUUGUCCCGACGAGGGAUGAUCCGCCGAUCGGUGAGUCGUUUUUUAUUUAACCCCUUCUC
Leptopilina boulardi is the source of this 758-nucleotide long non-coding RNA. RefSeq lists it as uncharacterized. Lineage: Eukaryota; Metazoa; Arthropoda; Insecta; Hymenoptera; Figitidae. The record is from RefSeq and is a predicted model, not a curated record. The transcript has 6 exons.